GUGUGCUCACGAACUGCGGUUUCGAAAGUUGGCGGUUGGCGCUCUGCUGCGUAGCUGCAUCUUCCUAUCUUCGUCUCGGCUUCAGGCAGACUGAAGGAAAACGUACAAGCGCAAGAAAUGGGCCGCUCCACGCCUUUAGCCUGUGUGGAACACCAGGGCAACCAUAUCAAUAUUAACAGCUAUUUAUUUCCUUGCUACCAUCCUGAGUGAAGGGUGACAUUCGAGACGUUUCAUGCACCUUCAGACCACUGCCAGAGAAAACACCGUAAAAAAAAAGUGUGUCAGUGAAUAUAUUUCCUGGGCAUCAAACCGUCUACGAAAUACAUGAGGUCGAAGAGGAGCCAUGUGAGUGGAUCAGCAGCCAGGGCGCUCUCUUUGUUCAUAAAACUAAA
Molecule: long non-coding RNA, 392 nt
Organism: Ornithodoros turicata
Lineage: Eukaryota; Metazoa; Arthropoda; Arachnida; Ixodida; Argasidae
Exons: 3
Source: RefSeq, a predicted model, not a curated record